This is a non-coding RNA of Pelobates cultripes (western spadefoot toad), 361 nucleotides long. NCBI's taxonomy places the organism in Eukaryota, Metazoa, Chordata, Amphibia, Anura, Pelobatidae. The record is from the annotation of a GenBank genome assembly.
CUCCAAUUCUAGAAAUUCUGCCUAGAAUUAAUCUUUAUACAAAAUCCCCUAUAGUUUCUUCAGUGUUGCAUGAUUUGUCUCUAGCUCGAUUUUAAUUUGUUGUACAAGUAGCCCAUCUAAUGAGCCAGUAGGUAAUAAGACAUAGGACAGGAAACUGCCAAACCCAUUGCAGUGUCAGGAUGGGAUAGGUAUACACACAAGGGUUGGAUAAUCACUCGGAGCAUAUUACAAACAGAAUGGAACUUAUGCUUUAUAUAUUGAUUGCAUGUCAACAGUUUUCAAAGACCACACAGUGAUCUCUCAUCAGAAAACAGAUGACAACAGAAGAUUAUGACGGAAAACAGAAACGUAAGGUUAGUGA